UGCGGAUAACUGAACGUGAUAACUGAAGCACCACGCUACCUCCGGCGACGGCACGAGUCAGGAGGAAGGCGGUGGGCAAGAAAGAAGGCGACAAAAAGGCGAUGUAAGGCGAGAAAAGAAGCGGAUUCCCUCGUGGAAACUCGCAUCAAUCACAGCCCUGGGGGCCUAUUGCUGUUCUACGACCGAGAUGAGAAUUACAAGAUUGAGUG
Harpegnathos saltator (Jerdon's jumping ant) is the source of this 209-nucleotide long non-coding RNA. RefSeq lists it as uncharacterized. The transcript has 3 exons. The record is from RefSeq and is a predicted model, not a curated record. NCBI's taxonomy places the organism in Eukaryota, Metazoa, Arthropoda, Insecta, Hymenoptera, Formicidae.